AAAAAGGACUUUAUCAAGUCCACAUUAUAUUAGCUUGUUAUCUUUG
Non-coding RNA from Otolemur garnettii (small-eared galago), 46 nucleotides. Lineage: Eukaryota; Metazoa; Chordata; Mammalia; Primates; Galagidae. The record is from Rfam.